This 436-nucleotide ribosomal RNA is filed under the name uncultured bacterium. RNAcentral's name for it is "bacterial SSU rRNA". It matches the Rfam family "Bacterial small subunit ribosomal RNA", at positions 954 to 1391 of the family's 1533-position model. The record is from RNAcentral.
GCUAAACGCGAAGAACCUUACCUACUCUUGCAUCCAGAGAACUUAGCAGAGAUGCUUUGGUGCCUUCGGGAACUCUGAGACAGGUGCUGCAUGGCUGUCGUCAGCUCGUGUUGUGAAAUGUUGGGUUAAGUCCCGCAACGAGCGCAACCCUUAUCCUUUGUUGCCAGCGGUCCGGCCGGGAACUCAAAGGAGACUGCCAGUGAUAAACUGGAGGAAGGUGGGGAUGACGUCAAGUCAUCAUGGCCCUUACGAGUAGGGCUACACACGUGCUACAAUGGCGCAUACAAAGAGAAGCGACCUCGCGAGAGCAAGCGGACCUCAUAAAGUGCGUCGUAGUCCGGAUUGGAGUCUGCAACUCGACUCCAUGAAGUCGGAAUCGCUAGUAAUCGUAGAUCAGAAUGCUACGGUGAAUACGUUCCCGGGUCUUGUACACACC